RNAcentral lists this ribosomal RNA (258 nucleotides) under Klebsiella pneumoniae. Its description in RNAcentral is "partial 23S ribosomal RNA". It matches the Rfam family "Bacterial large subunit ribosomal RNA", at positions 1 to 250 of the family's 2925-position model. Lineage: Bacteria; Pseudomonadati; Pseudomonadota; Gammaproteobacteria; Enterobacterales; Enterobacteriaceae. The record is from RNAcentral.
GGGUUGUGAGGUUAAGCGACUAAGCGUACACGGUGGAUGCCCUGGCAGUCAGAGGCGAUGAAGGACGUGCUAAUCUGCGAAAAGCGUCGGUAAGGUGAUAUGAACCGUUAUAACCGGCGAUGUCCGAAUGGGGAAACCCAGUGUGAUUCGUCACACUAUCGUUAACUGAAUACAUAGGUUAACGAGGCGAACCGGGGGAACUGAAACAUCUAAGUACCCCGAGGAAAAGAAAUCAACCGAGAUUCCCCCAGUAGCGGC